This 151-nucleotide non-coding RNA is filed under the name Oxyrrhis marina. The record is from RNAcentral. Lineage: Eukaryota; Dinophyceae; Oxyrrhinales; Oxyrrhinaceae.
UUACUAUACAACAACAAGAACAAGAGAUAUAAAUAAAGAAGAAAGAAAAAAAGAAGAAAAAGGGGGAAAUGACUAAGGGUUUUUUCUUAUCUAAAUACAAUACUAUGAUGUACUUUUAUACUUUUCCGUUUGAAUAAUACCUCGUGUGAUA